RNAcentral lists this ribosomal RNA (467 nucleotides) under Streptococcus suis. RNAcentral describes it as "partial 23S ribosomal RNA". It matches the Rfam family "Bacterial large subunit ribosomal RNA", at positions 923 to 1391 of the family's 2925-position model. The record is from RNAcentral. Lineage: Bacteria; Bacillati; Bacillota; Bacilli; Lactobacillales; Streptococcaceae.
GGGGCCAUCUCGGUUUACUGAUUUCAGAUAAACUCCGAAUGCCAAAGAUUUAUGGUCGGCAGUCAGACUGCGAGUGCUAAGAUCCGUAGUCGAAAGGGAAACAGCCCAGACCACCAGCUAAGGUCCCAAAAUAAUUGUUAAGUGGAAAAGGAUGUGGGGUUGCACAGACAACUAGGAUGUUAGCUUAGAAGCAGCUAUUCAUUCAAAGAGUGCGUAAUAGCUCACUAGUCGAGUGACCCUGCGCCGAAAAUAUACCGGGGCUAAAACAAUUUACCGAAGCUGUGGAUAACACAUUAGUGUUAUGGUAGGAGAGCGUUCUAUGUGUGAAGAAGGUAUACCGUGAGGAGUGCUGGAACGCAUAGAAGUGAGAAUGCCGGUAUGAGUAGCGAAAGAUGGGUGAGAAUCCCAUCCACCGUAAGACUAAGGUUUCCAGGGGAAGGCUCGUCCGCCCUGGGUUAGUCGGGACC